AGUGAACGCUGGCGGUAGGCCUAACACAUGCAAGUCGAACGGCAGCACAGUAAGAGCUUGCUCUUACGGGUGGCGAGUGGCGGACGGGUGAGGAAUAAAUCGGAAUCUACUUUUUCGUGGGGGUUAACGUAGGGAAACUUACGCUAAUACCGCAUACGACCUACGGGUGAAAGCAGGGGAUCUUCGGACCUUGCGCGAUUGAAUGAGCCGAUGUCGGAUUAGCUAGUUGGCGGGGUAAAGGCCCACCAAGGCGACGAUCCGUAGCUGGUCUGAGAGGAUGAUCAGCCACACUGGAACUGAGACACGGUCCAGAGUCCUACGGGAGGCAGCAGUGGGGAAUAUUGGACAAUGGGCGCAAGCCUGAUCCAGCCAUACCGCGUGGGUGAAGAGGGCCUUCGGGUUGUAAAGCCCUUUUGUUGGGAAAGAAAAGCAGCAGGUUAAGACCCCGCUGUUCUGACGGUACCCAAAGAAUAAGCACCGGCUAACUUCGUG
This 492-nucleotide ribosomal RNA is filed under the name uncultured bacterium. RNAcentral's name for it is "partial 16S ribosomal RNA". It matches the Rfam family "Bacterial small subunit ribosomal RNA", at positions 29 to 507 of the family's 1533-position model. The record is from RNAcentral.